RNAcentral lists this unclassified non-coding RNA (342 nucleotides) under soil metagenome. Its description in RNAcentral is "partial contains 5.8S ribosomal RNA, internal transcribed spacer 2, and large subunit ribosomal RNA". The stretch from base 1 to 120 matches the Rfam family "5.8S ribosomal RNA", at positions 35 to 154 of the family's 154-position model. The record is from RNAcentral.
GAUGAAGAACGUAGCGAAAUGCGAUAAGUAAUGUGAAUUGCAGAAUUCAGUGAAUCAUCGAAUCUUUGAACGCACAUUGCGCCCGCCAGCACUCUGGCGGGCAUGCCUGUUCGAGCGUCAUUUCAACCAUCAAGCCCCUAGGGGCUUGUGCUGGGGCCCUGCGGCUGCCCGCAGGCCCUGAAAACCAGUGGCGGGCUCGCUAGUCACACCGAGCGCAGUAGCACAUCUCGCUCAGGGCGUGCGGCGGGCUCCUGCCGUGAAACCCCCCACUGUAACCCCAAAGGUUGACCUCGGAUCAGGUAGGAAUACCCGCUGAACUUAAGCAUAUCAAUAAGCGGAGGA